Long non-coding RNA from Nyctereutes procyonoides (raccoon dog), 120 nucleotides. RefSeq lists it as uncharacterized. The transcript has 2 exons. NCBI's taxonomy places the organism in Eukaryota, Metazoa, Chordata, Mammalia, Carnivora, Canidae. The record is from RefSeq and is a predicted model, not a curated record.
GGCUCCGGCGCCUCGGCCAUUUCCUCGCUCGGCGGCGGCCGGGACUGAACUGACACCACACGAGCGAGCCGAGAUGCUGCCUGCCACACACAGCCUUCUCAGAUCUCAUAACAAAACAAA